CAGUAAGAGUUACUAAAAUGUAUUUAUUAAUUAUUGAAAUUUAUUAGAUUAUUCCAGAGACGGCUGUUGAAAGUUACGGACAAGGUGAAUAUUAUGUGGAGUGCCCGAGUCUGCAAGCCGACGAGAAUAAGUAUAAAGAGCGAAGAUAAGGAAAAAUAUCCGUGUACUGGCAAAAUUAUCUUGUAACAUCGAACGUCGGUUUAAAAGAUCACGAAAACACAUCACGCAUCACGAAGCCCCAAAUUAAAUGAUAAUGAAUGUUAAAUUAGUUGAGGAGAUGAGGUAUUGGCUUGAGAGUGUGCAGUGGGCUUCUGCACGAACGAGUCGAGGAGCUGGAAUAAAAAAAAUAAAAAUAAAAAUAAAAAACAGCGGAUUGAGGAAUAAGUAAUAUCAGGCGCAAGCAGCAGUCACGCGUCUCAAGGUCAGAGAUUUUCGAAACUGACGUACCACGGUGGUGAUUAUGACACGGGCGUGUGUGCAUCGCCAUCAACGGCACCCGGCAUAUCCAGCAUGGCAGCUGCAAGAACACACUUGUCGUGUGCCAGAUGAUCUUUCGAAAGUCGCCUCCCUUCUACGCCAGCUAACUUGUAUUACGUUAGAAAUUAUUUUCUUCGAUCGCUCCGAAUUCAAUCGAGGAUUUUUAAAAUGAUUUAUUGAACGUGUCCGAGAACAAUACCCGAGGGUUUAUUUCCAAAAUUAUGCUGCAAAGUAUCCUGUGAAAUAAAGGGAGGAUGGAUGAUCGAGGAUUAAUGGUGAGACUUUUGCCGAAGUGACAAAUUUUAUGCAUGGAAAAUUUCAAGGUAAAUAUAAUAUUGUAAUAUUCUUACCGAUAUUAGUUAUA
Molecule: long non-coding RNA, 841 nt
Organism: Cotesia glomerata
Lineage: Eukaryota; Metazoa; Arthropoda; Insecta; Hymenoptera; Braconidae
Exons: 3
Source: RefSeq, a predicted model, not a curated record